CCUACGGGUGGCAGCAGUGAGGAAUAUUGGUCAAUGGGCGGAAGCCUGAACCAGCCAAGUCGCGUGCAGGAUGACGGCCCUACGGGUUGUAAACUGCUUUUAUACGGGAAUAACGCGCCUUACGUGUAGGUCUUUGCAUGUAUCGUAUGAAUAAGGACCGGCUAAUUCCGUGCCAGCAGCCGCGGUAAUACGGAGGGUCCGGGCGUUAUCCGGAUUUAUUGGGUUUAAAGGGUGCGUAGGCGGCAGGUCAAGCGUGCGGUGAAAUUUCCGGGCUCAACCCCGGGACUGCUCUGGAUACUAUUGAGCUGGAGUGCAGGAGCGGUAAGCGGAAUGUACGGUGUAGCAGUGAAAUGCGUAGAGAUCGUGAGGAACACUCGUGGCGAAGGCGGGUUACUGGACAAUAACUGACGCUGAGGCACGAAGGCGAGGGGAGCAAACGGGAUUAGAUACCCCUGUAGUC
This 460-nucleotide ribosomal RNA is filed under the name uncultured bacterium. Its description in RNAcentral is "partial 16S ribosomal RNA". It matches the Rfam family "Bacterial small subunit ribosomal RNA", at positions 338 to 795 of the family's 1533-position model. The record is from RNAcentral.